UCCGGCUUGUCACCGGCAGUUUUUCUAGAGUUCUCGGCAUAACCCGUUAGCAACUAAAAAUGAGGGUUGCGCUCGUUGCGGGACUUAACCCAACAUCUCACGACACGAGCUGACGACAGCCAUGCAACACCUGUCUCUGUGCCAGCCGAACUGAAGAACUUCCAUUACAAAGUUCAUACACAGGAUGUCAAGGGUUGGUAAGGUUUUUCGCGUAGCAUCGAAUUAAACCACAUGCUCCACCGCUUGUGCGGGUCCCCGUCAAUUCCUUUGAGUUUUAAUCUUGCGACCGUACUCCCCAGGCGGAGUGCUUAACGUGUUAACUGUGUCACUGAGGAAAACCCCAACGACUAGCACUCAUCGUUUACGGCGUGGACUAC
Molecule: unclassified non-coding RNA, 377 nt
Filed under: uncultured Alphaproteobacteria bacterium
Lineage: Bacteria; Pseudomonadati; Pseudomonadota; Alphaproteobacteria
Description: contains 16S-23S intergenic spacer region
Source: RNAcentral